ACGGGAGGCAGCAGUGGGGAAUAUUGCACAAUGGGGGAAACCCUGAUGCAGCGACGCCGCGUGAAGGAAGAAGUAUUUCGGUAUGUAAACUUCUAUCAGCAGGGAAGAUAAUGACGGUACCUGACUAAGAAGCCCCGGCUAACUACGUGCCAGCAGCCGCGGUAAUACGUAGGGGGCAAGCGUUAUCCGGAUUUACUGGGUGUAAAGGGAGCGUAGGCGGCGUGAUAAGUCAGCAGUGAAAGCCCGGGGCUCAACUCCGGGACUGCUGUUGAAACUGUCAUGCUUGAUUCCAGGAGAGGUAAGCGGAAUUCCUAGUGUAGCGGUGAAAUGCGUAGAUAUUAGGAGGAACACCAGUGGCGAAGGCGGCUUACUGGACUGGCAAUGACGCUGAGGCUCGAAAGCGUGGGGAGCAAACAGGAUUAGAUACCCUGGUA
This 434-nucleotide ribosomal RNA is filed under the name uncultured Coprococcus sp. Its description in RNAcentral is "bacterial SSU rRNA". It matches the Rfam family "Bacterial small subunit ribosomal RNA", at positions 341 to 792 of the family's 1533-position model. The record is from RNAcentral. Lineage: Bacteria; Bacillati; Bacillota; Clostridia; Lachnospirales; Lachnospiraceae.